Molecule: unclassified non-coding RNA, 239 nt
Filed under: Hevea brasiliensis (rubber tree)
Lineage: Eukaryota; Viridiplantae; Streptophyta; Magnoliopsida; Malpighiales; Euphorbiaceae
Source: RNAcentral
AAUUUUUUUUUUUUUUUCUUAUUCAACAAUUUAAAGAAAGCUUUCAUUAAAACAAAUUGUAACCAACAAAAUAAUAACAAUAAUUAAUGAGGUAAUUAACAAGAGAAUUUGUGUUCUCCCAAGAAAUAAAUUAACAUACAUAAAUAAGCUUGACACUUGCAUUUGACUAUACCAAUCCAGGCAUGCAUCACCUAUAGACGUUCCCUUCCAAUUUUAAAAUAAAUUAUAAAGGAGGAAUA